UAUUUGUUUGCUUAAAAUUAAUCACUCGCUUUUAUUUUAUUAUAUGCAAAGAGGUAGUUAAUUAAACCUAUUUUUAGAUUUCUAUAUUUUUUGUAAGUGAAUGUGAGAGAGGGCGUAUUUCAUAAAUAUAAAAAUUGAAAUAAAAAUAAAAAUGAAACAAACCACAAGCAUGAGUAAGGUUUUGAACAUUUUGAAAUUGUUUUAAAAACAUUAAAAAUAAUAAUAAAAUUAUAAAUUUGAGCAAAAUCCAAGACUUCAACAUUAAACCAAGUGAGAAGAACAGGGAAAGUUGGGGAUGGAAUGAGGAGGCUAGGAUGUGGGUGGCAAG
This 328-nucleotide long non-coding RNA is filed under the name Vitis vinifera (wine grape). RNAcentral's name for it is "long non-coding RNA (VVIN_LNC004517)". Lineage: Eukaryota; Viridiplantae; Streptophyta; Magnoliopsida; Vitales; Vitaceae. The record is from RNAcentral.